UUCUCAGCUGUUCCGCUCUACAGUGAGAAGCGUCACAGGUCAUCAUCACGGGUCUAACUUUCCUCUCUACUCGAUCCCCUGCUUCCUCAACAAAGGAGAUGAUGCGGCAUCCUGGUCAUGGUCAUCAUGUUAUGGAAUGUCGUCGAAUGGGGGAGAUCAGCACACGUCGAACCGAGCUCUUAUCUCUCUAUAUGGCAACGAACUUCUUCGAGAAUCCCAGAACACACGCAAAGCCUUGAGCUUGAUUCACUUCCGACGCCAUUGGCGGCCCUUCAAGAGGAAACCGAUUUCAGGCCCCGUCGCUCUGCACGCGGAUCGUUCGACGUGGGUUCGUUUUGUAGAUUCGGAUAAGGCCGUCGUAGUUUCGAUCGAGUCGCAACGACCGAUCCCCCGCGCUAAAGGCAGAUAGAGAGAGAGAGUGGGCGCGACAAUAUCCAACAGGAGCAGUUCUCUGUGAAAUUUGGGCUUUUCAGGGGGAGAGACGAGAAGCGGUCGAUGACGGGGGUUUUUCGAGAGGGAUUUGUGGGAGUGGAUCGAAUCGGCAAAGGGGUUGAAAUUGGAGUUUGAUCGAGAGACGGGAGGAAGGAGGGAGAGAGGAGAGAGAAAAUGGGGUGUUGCUUUUUCGGAUGUGAGAGGAGGAGGCAACGGUGGCGUGCACAACGACGCCGUCGACCACCUCUUCCGAGCUCGCAGUCAACCCGCUCUCUUCUCGCAAAUUGAGACCUGAGUCAACGUUGUCGGCAUUGUCGGGCGAGACAAUGAUUUGGCCAGAAGAAACCAGUCUAUCAGAGGAUUGUUAGCAGAAAAACUGAGAAGCAUUCUUCACAGUGGGGAUUCUCCUCAAACCUCGCCACUGGACUAAUUGAUGUUGUAUUAUCAAACAACUUCUGGUGAUGUGUUUCCAACGUGCUCGUCUAAUUGGAGUUUUCUUCUUGUUUUCCUCAUUAGACUUGACUUAAGGGGAUUUCUUUUAUUUUCUUCAAACCAAAAUAUUAGUCUGCCUUGCGAGCUAUGACCUGUCGAAACUCAUGCAAAUGACAAGAAUCGCAUGCCACUGCAAAUUUAGUGGGAAUGAUUUGCAUCAGUUUGUUCAAAAGGGGUGAUGGUUUAGACAUAGUCUAACUAAGCUUUGCACUUGUACUCCUUGACAAUGUUCAUUUUUCAGAAACAAAGUUACUAUCUGAAUUAUGUGUCACCUUUCAAAAUCUAAACUUGGCGUCGCUGAUUAAGCAUAGAUGUGAAUAGGAUAUCUGGGUAAGAGCUAGUACAAAUUAAGCAUAUCAUACUUUUCAACAACAAACUUCCUGCGAUGCAAAUAGUGUAAUCAUGGGCGUCAAUCUUGAAAUUCAAUGCCCAUAGUUUGUAAGAUGUGUGUUAUUGUCUAUGCUGCAGUUAUCCUGGCUGACGUCAUGUCAAAGGUGAGAAACUUCAUUAGCAUUUUCAGGUACAUCUUGCUACUAGUAUGUAGUUUUUCUAUUUUGUCUGCAUCUUGCUUUCACAUUCACGUGGGAUCUUCUUGGUUCUUUUUUAUUUGGUUGUCAUAGAAGGGUGUAACUUCUUCUUCUUCUGAAGUAAAAUUUCAACUACAUAACUUAAAACUUGAUUUUCUGUCUUCUUAUGCUUGCAAAAAUUUAGGACAUCACAGUGUAUGAUGUAUGCAUUUCUGGUUGGUGCCUGUUAUUUAUAAGACUGUCUUUGCAUGCAUAUGUCAUGCUAUUUUCUGCAUAACUUGUGUGUGGCAAAUCUCUUCUGCCAAAAUUUCUGCAAGAGCAACUUCAGCUUUUGUCAAAACUUGCAUAUAUACUCUUGAUCAAAUUACUCUUGAUCAAAUUUCAGGUUGUGUAAGAAACCUGAACUGAUAUAGUUAAGUAGCUCAUAAUUACAAUAAAUGACUAAUUCCUGUAGAUUUUUGCAUGUUUGUGUUUCCUUCUUUUCUGCCCAAAUUCGAGCUUGCUUAAAGGUUUAUGAACUUUGAUCAAUGGUUUCUUGUAGAAUGAUCCAAUGGUAGCUGUGUAGUUGAGGAAAAGAGAAGGAAUGCUUGAGGAACUUGGGAGGACAAAAGUUAUAUUAAAUAGUUUGGAUCCUGCAUGGAUUGAAAGAAUUUUUAAGCUUAUCACUUUGAGACUGUUCAUCAUCUGGUGUGAGCUUUCCACGUAUGGCAAAGUAUAAUUUAUUCAGCCCGUGUUUAGUCUUGACUAUAUUAUGUAAAACCAUUUGUUUGUUUACGUUUCAUGUAUAUGAUGUUGACACAAAAUGUUGCAACGUACCUGUGAAGGUGUGUCAGUUAUUUUAAUCAUUUCACAUAGUUUGAUGUUUCUUUUUGGAUUUUCAAUAACAUUGUUUCUUUUUUCCUAUCUUUGGUUUAUUUUCCCCUCUGAAUUUUAUGGGUGAAGCCAGAGCUAUGCAUGGCCUUUCCUGGUUAUACAUGAACAAUGUAUCCAACUGCAAUUCUAUGUUCUACGUCACAUUUCAGUCAAUCUUCCUUAGGGUCUAACUCAAAUUCAAUGAAAAUGGAGAGACUGUUUGGAGUAAUAUAAGGAGUUGUCUCAGAUUGAUUCCAAAGUUUCUCCAACUUAUAUACUAGCUACUUUUACUAUCAUUAUAGAUCAACUGCAUUUUUGGUUUUGUCCUAAAGUAGGAAUUAUAAAGACAAGGGUUCAUCUCUUUUCUUACCUUUGAUGUUCAAGUGUGGUAGGACGACACUUUCCCAGGUAAAUUGGUUUAUCUGUCUUGCAGUCUACACAAUGUUAUGUCCAUGGAAUUCUGGAAAUACAAAAUGAAUGCAUUGGACAAUCUUAUUUUUGCAUGGGAAUUUGAAUGUUAAAUGGCGUUUAAGUAAUCAUGACUUGCAAUCAUGCUUAUUUGGGAAAUAUGUACUAGUCCAUUCAGAUUACUUGGGUUUCUAUUUGCCUUUUGUCUUUCCAUGUGAAGAAGAAGAAAUCUCGAUAGAAUCUUGAUCGGGAGGUUUCAGUGCAGACGUUAAAGCUGAAGGACCAAGAGUUUUUAGUAGAGGCUAGCCAUGUGCUGUCAGAGAUAGUCACAAAGCAAAGUUGGAGUUUGACCCUGUCGUUUCAUAAUAAAAAUUUACUAGUAGGCUUGAGAAACCUGGUUACUCUUGACUGCCCAUGCUGAGGAAUCUGUUGCUUCCAGGACUGCUGUUGAAAUAAUAUUCUGCUGCUCCCAGUUGGAAAACAAAGAUAACUUUUCUAAAAGUGUAAGCUCUUCAAAACUCUCUUGAAAGGUCCCAUUUGAUAUUGUUCCUUGCCAUAUCUUUUCAUUGUUUUAGUCUUGUACUCUGUUGUUACCUCUUCUUAGGAUCCUUUUCUGAGAAUUUCCAGACUAGUUGAGUCUGGGAGUUCUCUUACUAUUUGCUAAACCGAAGUUAUCAAGGACAAGUUUUACACAGAACCUGCAAUCAUAUUGUCUAAUAUUUACUGCACUAGUGAUUUGGCAUACUGUAAGACUUGUUGCAGGAGAAUUUAUAAGUCAUUGAUUGCUAUGACUUUGAUACUACUGGGAACCAUGCACUCAUAAGGUCAAUGCCUACUCUAAUGCAAUAUGUAGUACUUAGGCUUUUUGUAUGCUAAUUUGCUUCUCGUUUAUUACAGUAAACUUCAGAAGACCAUGGCAGACUUGGAGGAACUUCAUAAAGAAAAAAAUGUUGCAAAUUUCACUUUACCAGCUUCUCAUCAUGGCCAUGAAAAGGCGUGUGUCAUUCUUAAAUAGUUUAAUACUCUUCAUUCUGAUGAGCCCUUUCAGGUUUAUAACUUCUUUGUAUAGGUUCUAAAGAGUCAGCUUUUCAUGGAUCAAUUUUGUGAGAAGCAACAGUACAGCUUUCUUGAUUACAUUAUCACGUGGUUUUUGAGCUUCUAUAAUUGCUGUCAACUUUACAGCUUCAAAUGGAAAUCCCAGAAAUCCAGAUUCCUUGCAUGACAAUGAUCCUUCAGGAAGAUACAAUUCCUACUGGCAGGUGGCCGGUCACUAGUGCCAGCGACCUCACCAAAGCGUUGCGGCUCUCGGCGAGGUCGGUCCUCAUCAACCGAGCCUCGCCAGAUCUAGCGAGGCCGAGCAUUGCCGGUGGCCAAAUGGUAGUGAGGCCGCUUGGCUACCAGCAAGGCUGGGCAAGCCUCACUGGGGCUAAGCAAGGCCUGCUUGGCCAUCGACGAGGCUCAGCCUUGCCAAAUCACGAGGCAUGCCUAGCCCCGCCGAGCUUUGUCGGACUUCGCUCUGGCCUGGCGAGUCUCCGGCGAGCUCGUUGGACUGGUUGCUGGCGACCAGCAGCGGUGGGCAGUGGACGGUGGCGGACGGCAAUCGCAACGGUGGCGGUGA
Long non-coding RNA from Eucalyptus grandis, 4329 nucleotides. RefSeq lists it as uncharacterized. The transcript has 5 exons. The record is from RefSeq and is a predicted model, not a curated record. Lineage: Eukaryota; Viridiplantae; Streptophyta; Magnoliopsida; Myrtales; Myrtaceae.